UACGUAGGGGGCAAGCGUUGUCCGGAUUUAUUGGGCGUAAAGAGCGUGUAGGCGGCCAGGUAGGUCUGCUGUGAAAACUCGAGGCUCAACCUCGAGAUGUCGGCGGAAACCAUCUGGCUAGAGUCCGGAAGAGGAAAGUGGAAUUCCCGGUGUAGCGGUGAAAUGCGCAGAUAUCGGGAAGAACACCCGUGGCGAAGGCGGUUCUCUGGGACGGUACUGACGCUGAGACGCGAAAGCGUGGGGAGCGAACAGG
This 253-nucleotide ribosomal RNA is filed under the name uncultured bacterium. RNAcentral describes it as "partial 16S ribosomal RNA". It matches the Rfam family "Bacterial small subunit ribosomal RNA", at positions 524 to 776 of the family's 1533-position model. The record is from RNAcentral.